This is a long non-coding RNA of Maniola jurtina (meadow brown), 193 nucleotides long. RefSeq lists it as uncharacterized. Lineage: Eukaryota; Metazoa; Arthropoda; Insecta; Lepidoptera; Nymphalidae. The record is from RefSeq and is a predicted model, not a curated record. The transcript has 3 exons.
UGUUUAUAAUAUUACUUACAUUUCUAUAGAUGUUCGUUUUCACGAUGACCGCUCAGCCUUGGUUGUAGUAGUGCGUGUACCGAUAAGCGUUAACGCAUUUGUGUGCGUAACGUAAACGACGUAAACGACUAUGAGCGCCACGCACACUACAACAUGUGUACCUACGUGUGCACUCACACAUACAAGCCUAACG